CUACGGGAGGCAGCAGUGGGGAAUAUUGCACAAUGGGCGCAAGCCUGAUGCAGCCAUGCCGCGUGUAUGAAGAAGGCCUUCGGGUUGUAAAGUACUUUCAGCGGGGAGGAAGGGAGUAAAGUUAAUACCUUUGCUCAUUGACGUUACCCGCAGAAGAAGCACCAGCUAACUCCGUGCCAGCAGCCGCGGUAAUACGGACGGUGCAAGCGUUAAUCGGAAUUACUGGGCGUAAAGCGCACGCAGGCGGUUUGUUAAGUCAGAUGUGAAAUCCCCGGGCUCAACCUGGGAACUGCAUCUGAUACUGGCAAGCUUGAGUCUCGUAGAGGGGGGUAGAAUUCCGGGUGUAGCGGUGAAAUGCGUAGAGAUCUGGAGGAAUACCGGUGGCGAAGGCGGCCCCCUGGACGAAGACUGACGCUCAGGUGCGAAAGCGUGGGGAGCAAACAGGAUUAGAUACCCGAGUAGUC
RNAcentral lists this ribosomal RNA (464 nucleotides) under uncultured bacterium. RNAcentral's name for it is "partial 16S ribosomal RNA". It matches the Rfam family "Bacterial small subunit ribosomal RNA", at positions 339 to 795 of the family's 1533-position model. The record is from RNAcentral.